CAGUAGCCGCGGGAAUACGUAGGGUGCAAGCGUUAAUCGGAAUUACUGGGCGUAAAGCGUGCGCAGGCGGUGUUGUAAGACUGAUGUGAAAUCCCCGGGCUCAACCUGGGAACUGCAUUGGUGACUGCAACGCUGGAGUGCGGCAGAGGGGGAUGGAAUUCCGCGUGUAGCAGUGAAAUGCGUAGAUAUGCGGAGGAACACCGAUGGCGAAGGCAAUCCCCUGGGCCUGCACUGACGCUCAUGCACGAAAGCGUGGGGAGCAAACAGGAUUAGAUACCCCCGUAGUCCCUGUCUCUUAUAC
RNAcentral lists this ribosomal RNA (301 nucleotides) under uncultured bacterium. RNAcentral's name for it is "partial 16S ribosomal RNA". It matches the Rfam family "Bacterial small subunit ribosomal RNA", at positions 509 to 807 of the family's 1533-position model. The record is from RNAcentral.